RNAcentral lists this ribosomal RNA (253 nucleotides) under uncultured Gardnerella sp. RNAcentral's name for it is "partial 16S ribosomal RNA". It matches the Rfam family "Bacterial small subunit ribosomal RNA", at positions 101 to 354 of the family's 1533-position model. Lineage: Bacteria; Bacillati; Actinomycetota; Actinomycetes; Bifidobacteriales; Bifidobacteriaceae. The record is from RNAcentral.
AACGGGUGAGUAAUGCGUGACCAACCUGCCCCAUGCUCCAGAAUAGCUCUUGGAAACGGGUGGUAAUGCUGGAUGCUCCAACUUGACGCAUGUCUUGUUGGGAAAGUGUUUAGUGGCAUGGGAUGGGGUCGCGUCCUAUCAGCUUGUAGGCGGGGUAAUGGCCCACCUAGGCUUCGACGGGUAGCCGGCCUGAGAGGGCGGACGGCCACAUUGGGACUGAGAUACGGCCCAGACUCCACGGGAGGCAGCAGGU